UACGAAGGGGGCUAGCGUUGCUCGGAAUUACUGGGCGUAAAGGGAGCGUAGGCGGAUAGUUUAGUCAGAGGUGAAAGCCCAGGGCUCAACCUUGGAAUUGCCUUUGAUACUGGCUAUCUUGAGUACGGAAGAGGUAUGUGGAACUCCGAGUGUAGAGGUGAAAUUCGUAGAUAUUCGCAAGAACACCAGUGGCGAAGGCGGCUCACUGGCCCGGUACUGACGCUGAGGCACGAAAGCGUGGGGAGCAAACAGG
This 253-nucleotide ribosomal RNA is filed under the name uncultured bacterium. RNAcentral describes it as "partial 16S ribosomal RNA". It matches the Rfam family "Bacterial small subunit ribosomal RNA", at positions 524 to 776 of the family's 1533-position model. The record is from RNAcentral.